GGCCACUCUUUAAUAAGAAUGCAUUAUUUCUGCACACUAAACGCUUGGACCGAGACUUGGUUUGGGGGUGAAGAGUGGAGCUGUGGUCAGGGAGAGGUUAACUGGCUCGUGCGCUCUGGUGGCUGGGCAGGCGCGGAGCUGCGGCGCGCUGACGCGGGGAUGGAGAGCUCAGAUGCGCUGCUGCUCCGCCAGGAUCCCGCGGCCCGGGCCGACCUUUCCCUACUGCUUUCAACGCUCUUCUGCGCCGGAACUUUACAUCACGGACAGAAAGACACGCAGGGUCAUCCCCCAAGGGCGUUGAUCUGGGUCAGAUCAUUUAUCGCUGAUCACUCCACCCCACCUUUCCCAGCCUGUAAGUGACUGCGAUUGGAUGGGGGUUAAUUAGCAGAUUCUUGGGGUUUCCUGGUGUGGAGUCCCCAAAGAAAAGAUACAUCAAUAGGGAGACACUCAUGCUCCUUUUCUUUUGGAUCUGGACUGCAGAUUGCAACAGAUUGGACAUCUGGAAAGCCGGCAGGAUUCCCAGAGGAGCCUUUCCCUCAAGGAUCAUACAAGACUAUUUGUGGAAACCGCCAACUAUACCCUCUACCUGGACUACUGCAGUUGUCCGGAGAUGGUCCUUGAGGGAAUUUUGCCCGCUUUUGUGGAAUGGGUGCUGGUGUCCUGUGGAUCGCCUCUGAUUGUGGACAUCGCGGAUGACACCAGCCCCACUCCGGACCCAGAGCCCAGCCCACAAUCUCCCCGCUGCGCAGAGCCUAAGCCAAAGCCCACCGCUGAUGGAGAGCCAGAGCCCACUGCGACUGAUGAGCCAUUGCCAUGGAGAGCGACAGAGCUGAGGAUCGCCUCGGAGCUUAAGCCUGACCAGUCAGACCAGGUGCGAAAGCCGGCAACAGAGCUUGCCACGGUGGAGAAUGCUAUGAAUGGCGAGAGCACGGAGGGAAGCUCCACCCACUGCAUCAUGGCUGAGGGUGAGCAGCUCUCUAUGGACAAUAAUGAGGAUCUUAUUAAUCUGGAUAUAGAUGCAAACAUGCCUGUUCUGCUUCCGCCUUCAUCUGAGCUCUCUAGCUACCCUGAACUAUAUACAUGCCUGGAUUUUCCACCCACCCUCCCUCUCUUGCCUCCUCCUAUCAUCCCUACCGCUUCAUCUCCGUCACCGCUGUGUCCUGGCAGACCCUCAGCUCAAACCUCAGCCCACCAUCUAUGCACUGGAUUCGCCGCGGGUCUGCCACUCUCUAUUGGCGUCAUGGCUGUAGGAUCCCUUGUCUCCGCCUCCAGCCUCUGAGUC
Molecule: long non-coding RNA, 1282 nt
Organism: Cyprinus carpio carpio
Lineage: Eukaryota; Metazoa; Chordata; Actinopteri; Cypriniformes; Cyprinidae
Source: Ensembl